Molecule: long non-coding RNA, 3349 nt
Organism: Sceloporus undulatus (fence lizard)
Lineage: Eukaryota; Metazoa; Chordata; Lepidosauria; Squamata; Phrynosomatidae
Exons: 2
Source: RefSeq, a predicted model, not a curated record
UUCCCCUCAGGCAGAGUUUGGGCGGGAGCCCCCCGACCCCCGCCCUCCCCGCCUUGCCCUCCCUUCGCCGCCAUUUCCUCAAGCGCUCCGUCGCGUCUAGCUGAGGCGCCCCGGGCGAGAGGCUCAACGCCUCAGGCUGCCUGUGGGGACCCCCAUCCCCCGCCCCCUGGAGGCCCUUCCCGGCCUCCCUCGGCUUUCUUGAGCGAUGCUGGUGCUCUAUCUGAGGAAGACGGUGUCCUAAGAUGGCGGGAGGGGGCCUUGCUUUAAGCAGGGGGAGUGGGAGGCCUUCCCUCUCGGGCGCCUCUAUUGGCAGCUGCCCUCCGCUGGGCCUGCCCACUUUGGGCCCCCUUCCAUUUGCUGAGGAGGUUCUGGUGGUGCCAGCUUCGUGGAAAGGAGCUCCUUCCCUGCGCUUCUUUAGCGCCACCCGCAGGAGGCCUCCCUCUCUCUCUCUCUCUCCUAGUCUUUGCUUGGCAGAAGGCCACUGCCUCCAGGGCCAGCGGGGGGGGGGGCUGGGGCAGGCGUGCCCCUUUGGCUUGGCCUCCUUGCCCCUACUGGCUGCCUCCAGCCUCCCCUGGCCUGCCUACUUUUCCUUCCCUCCCCCCUUUUGCCAUUCUUGCACAGCCACCAUGUCAUUUUCUUCAUAUGCGCCGUUGCCUUCUGUGAAGACAGCGGCUUCAUAAAAGUGGGAGAGGGUUUGACUUGCCAGCCCUGACUCCUGGCAGCCUCCAUCCCUCUCCUCUCCGGCCCAGUUUCUUUUUGACCCCUCCUCUCUCCCCCCAAGUUUUCCCCACACUGCCACCUUUUUUCUUCACAGGUGCUGCUGCAAUGCCAGUGGACGACAACUUCAUAAAAUGACUGCAGGGUGCUCCUUUGAAAAAUGGGGGUGGAAUUCUUGCUUGUCAGCCCCAUCUGCUGGUCACUUCUGUCCCCCCCCCCCCCCCUGCCCUCCUUCUCUUUCACACCUUCCUUUCUUCUCUAUUCCUUGCCAUCAUUUUUUGAGAGGCAGAAAAUAGCUUCAUCAAAUGGUGGCAAGGUACCCUUUUCAUAAAACGUGGGGAUGGCAUUCUUAUUAUGUGCCAACUCAGUUGACCGAUACAUUUCCUGUCUUCGCUGUGUCUUUCCCUCCAAAUCCCAGGUUUGGCUCCCUCUACCACUGUUUUCUUCAGAGGUACUUUCCACUAUUUGAAGAAGACAGUUUCAUAAAAGAGCAGCAGGGUGUGCUUUUUAAAAAGCAGACAACUGUGGCAGAGGCAAGUGGAACUACUGGGGAAUGGGACAGGGAAAGAAAGCACGAGAGAACACUAGGUUUGGUAGAACGUACAAGAGGAAGGGAGGCUAGCAGAAGACAGAACUCAUGAGAAAGAAACCCACUCCUGUCUGCAGACAGCACCCACAUCCUGAGGCUGCUCAUAGCUGGGGCUAACACAAAACUGUCCCAUCCCCCAGUAGUUCCACUUGCCUCUGUGAUAGGUAUCUGCAGAGAUGAUGGCCGGUCCAAAGAAACCAGCUUAAGUUAACAGCAGGGGACUUUUAAAACCCCCAAUAGGACUGAUGUUGUUUCUUGUCGUUUCCACCUACUUGCAGGCUAUCUUCCACCUACUUAGGAGAUCACAGAAUGUAUUUCUUCGCCGAAUACUGUUUUGCGUAAAAGGUUGCGAUGUUGGCAUAUUUUCUCAUUGCGCGUUUUAAAAGAAAAAUUAAGGAACGCCAUAUUUCCAAGUGCAUGUAGCAUCUGCAUACACUGUACAACUUAUCCCAUUCCGCAGCAUUCUCGUAUUUGAAGAAAUAACACGUUGGUAAUAUUCGUAUUGUAUUUUAAUGAGAUUGAAAUAUUGCAAUUCUGGUUGCCUCACCCUUCAUCUGAAGAAACAAGUUUUAGAGCAUUAAGAAAGACUUACUAGCCUCUACACUGUAUAUGUUUAUUGAAUAUUGCCUGCUUGCCAUGAGAUCUGGAUCAUCAUCACUGCGUCACUUGUGCAAACUCAAAAGGAUCACACAGUUUUGGAAACCUACUGUAACUCCAUUCAACAAUGUAAGUGCUUAGACAAGAUGUUGGCUUCUUGGAGAAGAGGAGACAGAGCUGAUGCCUGCUCAUUUCUGAGACACUUGAGGAGCCUUCACUUUAGUCACUGGCAGAAGAAGGUUGCUGUUUAGUUAUUGUUAGUCUUAUGCUUCAAUUUCCUCUAGUGAAACAAGGCAAUUUUGAUCCAUAGAAAUGGGUCAGUUUCCUUAUCAGCAAGUACAUAUCAAAUAUUUCCAAAGGAGGACAGCAAGAAGAGAUGUAGACUUUGAGGUAGGGAUCUUGUGGCAAGUUUUAUUCAAGUGGUUUAUUUAAAACUUUAGGUAUUUUAACAGUAUAUAGUGUACUUUACAACUGGAUGGAGACUAAAACUUUUCCAGGAAAUGUGUGUAGGAUCAACACCCAGUCUGGAAAAGUGAAAAAUAUUCAUUCUAUAACUGUUUGAAAGAUGGAAAAACUUAAAAUGUCAUAUAUUUGGAAACUUUUACAAUGCAAUUUGAUCAAAAUUAGUACUGAUACUGUCUGAUAAUCAGUUGAAAAAAGCCUACAUAGAAGAAUGAAAGGGUAAAACAAUGUUAAACUGUUUUUUUUAACCCAGCUGUAUUAUACUGAUGGUACAGGAUUUUGGAGGGUGUUGCUUUCCAGUUAAGUAAGAACGGUAUUCUUCCACUGUUGGUGUCCUUCAACUGUCCAGCAUAUUCUGUCUCAGACUCUUUCCAUGUAUGUUCCUUCCCUGUUCUUCUACUUUGUGAAAAGAUACUUAUGUGUUAACUAGAGAAAAAUGGUGGUUGGGACCUUUUUUUCCAAGUGGGAGUGGUAUUCUUCCUUGUGAGACCUGCCAUUGACUUUGUCCCUCCUCUGUCCUGCCCAUCUUUGUUUUACUCCUCCCUCAUGUGUUCCCUCCCUGCUGCCAUUUUGUGAAAAUGCUUGUGCCUUAACUGUAGGAAACAUAACAUGACAGCAGUGUGCUUUUUUUUUAAUGCAAUUGGUCUUCUUCCUUGCACUUGCUUCUUCCAGUCCUGACCAUUUCCCUCCCCUCCUCCUGUCUGCUCACUCUCCUGUGGUUAUCUCCUGUCAGCAUUUUCUGUAGUGGCUCCUUAUCUGAAGAAAACAACUAUAUAUUUUGAUUGCAUUGUUCUUUUUCAAAAAAGGUCAGAGAGCCUCAUGAACUAUCUCUAGAGGCAGGCUUACUUAUCCCUACCUGCUUUGAAGGAGAUGCUGGAGUGUAUUUGUUUACUAAAUGUUACAUUCUGCAUAAAAACUCAACAUGUUGAAAUGUUUCCUUGUUAAGCCUUUGAAAUAACAUCAUUGAACAAGCAUUGUAGCAUU